AGUGAACGCUGGCGGUAGGCCUAACACAUGCAAGUCGAACGGCAGCACAGUAAGAGCUUGCUCUUACGGGUGGCGAGUGGCGGACGGGUGAGGAAUACAUCGGAAUCUACUUUUUCGUGGGGGAUAACGUAGGGAAACUUACGCUAAUACCGCAUACGACCUACGGGUGAAAGCAGGGGAUCUUCGGACCUUGCGCGAGUGAAUGAGCCGAUGUCGGAUUAGCUAGUUGGAGGGGUAAAGGCCCACCAAGGCGACGAUCCGUAGCUGGACUGAGAGGAUGAUCAGCCACACUGGAACUGAGACACGGUCCAGACUCCUACGGGAGGCAGCAGUGGGGAAUAUUGGACAAUGGGCGCAAGCCUGAUCCAGCCAUACCGCGUGGGUGAAGAAGGCCUUCUGGUUGUAAAGCCCUUUUGUUGGGAAAGAAAAGCAGCAGGUUAAUACCCCGCUGUUCUGACGGUACCCAAAGAAUAAGCACCGGCUAACUUCGUG
This 492-nucleotide ribosomal RNA is filed under the name uncultured bacterium. RNAcentral's name for it is "partial 16S ribosomal RNA". It matches the Rfam family "Bacterial small subunit ribosomal RNA", at positions 29 to 507 of the family's 1533-position model. The record is from RNAcentral.